This 468-nucleotide ribosomal RNA is filed under the name uncultured bacterium. RNAcentral's name for it is "partial 16S ribosomal RNA". It matches the Rfam family "Bacterial small subunit ribosomal RNA", at positions 28 to 507 of the family's 1533-position model. The record is from RNAcentral.
GACGAACGCUGGCGGCGUGCUUAACACAUGCAAGUCGAACGGAAAGGCCCUGCUUUUGUGGGGUGCUCGAGUGGCGAACGGGUGAGUAACACGUGAGUAACCUGCCCUUGACUUUGGGAUAACUUCAGGAAACUGAGGCUAAUACCGUAUAGGAGCUCCUGCUCCAUGGUGGGGGUUGGAAAGUUUCGGCGGGUGGGGAUGGACUCGCGGCUUAUCAGCUUGUUGGUGGGGUAGUGGCUUACCAAGGCUUUGACGGGUAGCCGGCCUGAGAGGGUGACCGGCCACAUUGGGACUGAGAUACGGCCCAGACUCCUACGGGAGGCAGCAGGGGGGAAUAUUGCACAAUGGGCGGAAGCCUGAUGCAGCAACGCCGCGUGCGGGAUGACGGCCUUCGGGUUGUAAACCGCUUUCGCCUGUGACGAAGCGUGAGUGACGGUAAUGGGUAAAGAAGCACCGGCUAACUACGUG